CCCAGCUCUGCUGCAGGAGCGGCAAGUGGAAGCAAGAACGUGCUUGGGAUCUCGCUGUAAAAAACAGGGUCUAAAUCAGUUGCCGACCCUGUGCUGGCAUCGCAUGUGGUGUAGAAAUCCCCUCUCCGUGGCCUUGGACCUCAGCAGCUCCCUGCUGCAGCUCGUCACCCUGCCUCUGGCUAACGAACUCCCGCAAAACUCCACGUCCUCACCAAGAAACGAGCAAAUCCAGCCACAGCUCUUGUGCUGGGACCUUCCAGGUGGAGACGGUGCGUUGCUGAGCUCCCGCUGUCCUCUCCCAUCUCCCGCUGAAUGACUGAGCUUGUGAAUCAACAGACCAAAAACUCUCCAAAUGGCAUGGGAUGCCUCACUGCUUCUCACAUGGUUCUGCUGGAGCUGCAAGCUGGGCAGGCCAGGAGGAACCGGCAUGCCGGGCAAAUGCUGGCAGGUGUCACAUGCAGACCAGUGGAGCAUGUUGUCCUCUGCUUGCUGGCCGCCGCUGUGUCUCCCUUGUUCGUUUUGGUCCAACUAACCCCAGGCGGGAAGCCAGCUGCUUCAGCCAGGGGAAAUGCAGGAGCAGAUCUGGAACCCUCUGUCUGUGCUCUGUAGCGCCUUUAUUCUGCGAGUUCGCACAAGAAACUCAAACCUCCAUCCAGCGUGGGAAAGCACUUCUUCAUGUGCUCAACUUCAGCUGGGUGAGAGCUGGUGAAGUACUUCCAGAGCCCGUGUGCAUGGGUGAGAGGGCAGAGCCCCAGCGGCUGAGCUGCCCUCCCGGCUCGGGGCUUAGCUGGAUGAGGCUGCCGGUCCCUGUUACCAAGUGGUCAAGCCGGGCACUGGCACAGGAAACCUCCCCUGGCGGCACAAGGAGAGAUUUGAACUGA
Molecule: long non-coding RNA, 881 nt
Filed under: Struthio camelus australis
Lineage: Eukaryota; Metazoa; Chordata; Aves; Struthioniformes; Struthionidae
Description: lncRNA (ENSSCUG00000008783.1)
Source: RNAcentral